RNAcentral lists this ribosomal RNA (317 nucleotides) under uncultured eukaryote. Its description in RNAcentral is "partial 18S ribosomal RNA". It matches the Rfam family "Eukaryotic small subunit ribosomal RNA", at positions 1470 to 1796 of the family's 1831-position model. The record is from RNAcentral.
CCCUUAGAUGUUCUGGGCUGCACGCGCGCUACACUGAUGCAAUCAACGAGUCUGCUGUUCCGAGAGGGUCGGCAAAUCUUUUGAAAUUGCAUCGUGACGGGGAUAGAUUAUUGUAAUUAUUAAUCUUCAACGAGGAAUUCCUAGUAGGUGCAUGUCAUCAGCAUGCGCCGAUUACGUCCCUGCCCUUUGUACACACCGCCCGUCGCUCCUACCGAUUGAAUGUUCCGGUGAGUUAUUCGGACCGCGAUCAAGGGCCUGCUCUUGUUUGUGGGAAGUCUUGCGAAUCUUAACAUUUAGAGGAAGGAUAAGUCGCAACA